Molecule: ribosomal RNA, 540 nt
Filed under: uncultured bacterium
Lineage: Bacteria
Description: bacterial SSU rRNA
Rfam family: Bacterial small subunit ribosomal RNA
Source: RNAcentral
AAUAGAUACCCGGGUAGUCCACCCCGUAAACGUUGGGAACUAGUUGUGGGGUCCUUUCCACGGAUUCCGUGACGCAGCUAACGCAUUAAGUUCCCCGCCUGGGGAGUACGGCCGCAAGGCUAAAACUCAAAGGAAUUGACGGGGACCCGCACAAGCGGCGGAGCAUGCGGAUUAAUUCGAUGCAACGCGAAGAACCUUACCAAGGCUUGACAUACACCAGAACACCCUGGAAACAGAGGACUCUUUGGACACUGGUGAACAGGUGGUGCAUGGUUGUCGUCAGCUCGUGUCGUGAGAUGUUGGGUUAAGUCCCGCAACGAGCGCAACCCUCGUUCUAUGUUGCCAGCACGUUAUGGUGGGAACUCAUGGGAUACUGCCGGGGUCAACUCGGAGGAAGGUGGGGAUGACGUCAAAUCAUCAUGCCCCUUAUGUCUUGGGCUUCACGCAUGCUACAAUGGCCGGUACAAUGGGCUGCGAUACCGUGAGGUGGAGCGAAUCCCAAAAAGUCGGUCCCAGUUCGGAUUGAGGUCUGCAACUCGA